Long non-coding RNA from Bradysia coprophila, 403 nucleotides. Lineage: Eukaryota; Metazoa; Arthropoda; Insecta; Diptera; Sciaridae. The record is from RefSeq and is a predicted model, not a curated record.
AAGGCAUCAAUGCAAAUCCAAUUUUGGCUCCUCUAUGGGAUAUUGGCAUUUUGGCUAGCACAGGAUCUGUGGCUCAACCAUUCGCAAUCAAAAACACUGCUGCUUUAGACUACAUUGAUGGAGAUGCUGUACAAAAUACAGCAGUACUAAACGAAGUAAUUUUUAAACACUUUGAAAAGCUUGUCGUUCUUAGAACGGUAAUAAUUUGUACUUUUCAUGCAAGGGCGCCCUAACUUAUGUCACAGGAAGCGUAACUCAAGUUGCUCCAGUGAACGCUGCUGCUGGCAACUUCGUUGGCAACCAAAGAUGCUACUCAACUGGGUCUAGUGAAUGCUGUACAUAGUGAUAUUGAAGAAAAAAGGUUUAUUAGCAUAUAUGUUACUUAUCUCUAUUCGAUAAUUUC